AGUGAACGCUGGCGGUAGGCCUAACACAUGCAAGUCGAACGGCAGCACAGUAAGAGCUUGCUCUUACGGGUGGCGAGUGGCGGACGGGUGAGGAAUACAUCGGAAUCUACUUUUUCGUGGGGGAUAACGUAGGGAAACUUACGCUAAUACCGCAUACGACCUACGGGUGAAAGCAGGGGAUCUUCGGACCUUGCGCGAUUGAAUGAGCCGAUGUCGGAUUAGCUAGUUGGCGGGGUAAAGGCCCACCAAGGCGACGAUCCGUAGCUGGUCUGAGAGGAUGAUCAGCCACACUGGAACUGCAACACGAUCCAGACUCCUACGGGAGGCAGCAGUGGGGAAUAUUGGACAAUGGGCGAAAGCCUGAUCCAGCCAUACCGCGUGGGUGAAGAAGGCCUUCGGGUUGUAAAGCCCUUUUGUUGGGAAAGAAAAGCAGCAGGUUAAUACCCCGCUGUUCUGACGGUACCCAAAGAAUAAGCACCGGCUAACUUCGUG
RNAcentral lists this ribosomal RNA (492 nucleotides) under uncultured bacterium. Its description in RNAcentral is "partial 16S ribosomal RNA". It matches the Rfam family "Bacterial small subunit ribosomal RNA", at positions 29 to 507 of the family's 1533-position model. The record is from RNAcentral.